CUCAGUAACACGUGGACAAUCUGCCCUAAGGAGGGGGAUAACUUCGGGAAACUGAAGAUAAUACCCCAUAGAUCAUGAAUGCUGGAAUGCUUCAUGGUUCAAAGCUCCGGCGCCUUAGGAUGAGUCUGCGGCCUAUCAGGUUGUAGUGGGUGUAGUGGACCCACUAGCCACUGACGGGUACGGGCGUUGGGAGACGUCGCCCGGAGAUGGAUUCUGAGACACGAAUCCAGGCCCUACGGGGCGCAGCAGUUACGAAAACUUGACAAUGCGGGAAACCGCGAUCAGGGAAUUCCAAGUGCAUGCACAAUGUGUAUGCUGUUCCAUUGUCUUAAAAACAUAGGAAGUAAGGGCUGGGUAAGACAGGUGCCAGCCGCCGCGGUAAUACCUGCAGCCCGAGUGGUGGUCGAUAUUAUUGAGCCUAAAGCGUCCGUAGCCGGACCAGUAAAUUCUUGGGUAAAUCGGGCAGCUUAACUGUCCGACUUCCGAGGAGACUGCCAGUCUUGGGACUGGGAGAGGUCAGAGGUACUCCAGGGGUAGGGGCUAAAUCCUGUAAUCCUUGGGGGACCACCAGUGGCGAAGGCGUCUGACUAGAACGGAUCCGACGGUAAGGGACGAAACCCUGGGGCGCAAACCGGAUUAGAUACCCGGGUAGUCCAGGGCGUAAACGCUGCAGGCUUGGUGUUGAGGAUCCUACGAGGAUGCUCAGUGCCGGAGUGAAGAUGUUAAGCCUGCCGCUUGGGGAGUACGUCCGCAAGGAUGAAACUAAA
RNAcentral lists this ribosomal RNA (767 nucleotides) under uncultured archaeon. RNAcentral describes it as "bacterial SSU rRNA". It matches the Rfam family "Archaeal small subunit ribosomal RNA", at positions 89 to 859 of the family's 1478-position model. The record is from RNAcentral.